RNAcentral lists this ribosomal RNA (525 nucleotides) under uncultured Bacteroidota bacterium. Its description in RNAcentral is "bacterial SSU rRNA". It matches the Rfam family "Bacterial small subunit ribosomal RNA", at positions 94 to 617 of the family's 1533-position model. The record is from RNAcentral. Lineage: Bacteria; Pseudomonadati; Bacteroidota.
AGUGGCGCACGGGUGCGUAACGCGUAUGCAACCUACCCAUAAUUGGAACAUAACGUUGAGAAAUUAACGCUAAUAUUCUAUGUGAAUAUGAAGAGGCAUCUUUUUAUAUUUAAAGAUUCAUUGAUUAUGGAUGGGCAUGCGGAUCAUUAGCUUGUUGGUGAGGUAACGGCUCACCAAGGCGACGAUGAUUAGGGGUUCUGAGAGGAUAUCCCCCCACACUGGAACUGAGACACGGUCCAGACUCCUACGGGAGGCAGCAGUAGGGAAUAUUGGGCAAUGGAAGCAAUUCUGACCCAGCCAUGCCGCGUGAAGGAAUACAGCCCUAUGGGUUUUAAACUUCUUUUAUUAUAGAGUAACCGGAGGUACGUGUACCUCCCUGCAAGUAUAUGAUGAAUAAGGAUCGGCUAACUCCGUGCCAGCAGCCGCGGUAAUACGGAGGAUCCAAGCGUUAUCCGGAUUUAUUGGGUUUAAAGGGUGCGCAGGCGGAUCAAUAAGUCAGGGGUGAAAAAUUUCAGCUUAACUGGA